CCUACGGGUGGCAGCAGUAGGGAAUAUUGGGCAAUGGAGGCAACUCUGACCCAGCAACGCCGCGUGAAUGAUGAAGGUCUUCGGAUUGUAAAGUUCUUUUCUAAAGGAAGAAGAAAGUGACGGUACCUUAGGAUUAAGCCUCGGCUAACUACGUGACAGCAGCCGCGGUAAUACGUAGGAGGCAAGCGGUAUCCGGAAGGACUGGGCGGAAAGGCUGCGUAGGUGGGUUGACAAGUUAGUAGCGCAACGACGGAGCUCAACUUCGAAAAUACUACUAAAACCGUUGGACUUGAGUGCAGGAGGGGCAAGUGGAAUUCCUGGUGUAGCGGUGGAAUGCGUAGAUAUAAGGAGGAACACCAGUGGCGAAGGCGGAUUGCUGGACUGUAACUGACACUGAGGCACGAAAGCGUGGGGAGCAAACAGGAUUAGAUACCCCUGUAGUC
RNAcentral lists this ribosomal RNA (443 nucleotides) under uncultured bacterium. RNAcentral's name for it is "partial 16S ribosomal RNA". It matches the Rfam family "Bacterial small subunit ribosomal RNA", at positions 338 to 795 of the family's 1533-position model. The record is from RNAcentral.